UAAUACGGAGGGGGCGAGCGUUGUUCGGAAUCACUGGGCGUAAAGCGUGCGUAGGCGGUUAUACAAGUCAGGAGUGAAAUCCCAGGGCUCAACCUUGGAAUUGCUUUUGAGACUGUAUGACUAGAGACCUAGAGAGGUUGGGGGAAUUCCCAGUGUAGCAGUGAAAUGCGCAGAUAUUGGGAGGAACACCAGUGGCGUAGGCGCCCAACUGGCUAGGUACUGACGCUGAGGCACGAAAGCGUGGGGAGCAAACAGGAUUAGAUACCCUGGUAGUCCACGCCGUAAACGAUGUGUGCUAGUUGCUGGAUCGCUUAGCGUUUCAGUGACGCAGCUAACGCAUUAAGCACACCGCCUGGGGAGUACGGUCGCAAGAUUAAAACUUAAAGGAAUUGACGG
RNAcentral lists this ribosomal RNA (396 nucleotides) under bacterium enrichment culture. RNAcentral's name for it is "bacterial SSU rRNA". It matches the Rfam family "Bacterial small subunit ribosomal RNA", at positions 521 to 916 of the family's 1533-position model. The record is from RNAcentral.